RNAcentral lists this ribosomal RNA (301 nucleotides) under uncultured bacterium. RNAcentral describes it as "partial 16S ribosomal RNA". It matches the Rfam family "Bacterial small subunit ribosomal RNA", at positions 509 to 807 of the family's 1533-position model. The record is from RNAcentral.
CAGUCGCCACGGGAAUACGAAGGGGGCUAGCGUUGUUCGGAAUUACUGGGCGUAAAGCGCACGUAGGCGGACAUUUAAGUCAGGGGUGAAAUCCCGGGGCUCAACCCCGGAACUGCCUUUGAUACUGGGUGUCUAGAGUAUGGAAGAGGUGAGUGGAAUUCCGAGUGUAGAGGUGAAAUUUGUAGAUAUUCGGAGGAACACCAGUGGCGAAGGCGGCUCACUGGUCCAUUACUGACGCUGAGGUGCGAAAGCGUGGGGAGCAAACAGGAUUAGAUACCCCCGUAGUCCCUGUCUCUUAUAC